Molecule: long non-coding RNA, 251 nt
Organism: Magallana angulata
Lineage: Eukaryota; Metazoa; Mollusca; Bivalvia; Ostreida; Ostreidae
Exons: 3
Source: RefSeq, a predicted model, not a curated record
AGAUUUAUCGUACUCUGUGCAAGUGCAAUGUGAAACCUGUCAUCAGAGCAGCUGUUCAUUUACAUCUUGUUUUGACCAUCACCACGCACUCUGUGAACAGAGCUUGUUAGAACCAACAAAACUCACGACAAGAAUCUCAUUAGCGCGAACCACUCACACAUCAAACAAAAACUCGAAGAAAUCUUGCUCACUCUUGGUGGUAUAAUUGCCGCUAUAACAACUACAAUUGGUCUGCUGGUAUUUUGUGUAAG